AAAAACAAAUCACGCGAGACUUCCUGUCCCUGUUCUCUUGGUAGAGUUGAAGAUGACGGCGGUAAUCGUCCGCGCUAAAGAGCAGCAGGUUUUAAUAGCUCAUCUCAAAUAUAUUAGCAAACAUUGGUGUUCCUCUGUGAACAAAUAUGUUUAUUAACUAUGUACUUAGGGUUAAGAAUGUAGCGACGUUCUAAUGGUCUUAGCGCGUUAGCAUUUUAGCUUCAAUGCAGGGGCAGCACGUGGUGGAGAGCGUGUCCUCGACUCUGCGACACAAGAGCAUUAUGACGGUCUGUUAUGCGCCACGUGAUUCCGAAAGUUUGAACGAGGGGAUGUUCUAAAGGUGCAGUAAAUUAGAUAUCAAAAGAGAACAUCUGUGCAGAAAGGCGGUUUUACAGGUGGAAUAUCUGAGUUGGGAUGAAGAAACUAGUUCCAAAGAAGACACCAACAAUAAACGUUCUUGUACAAAACUAUGUUAAGCCCCUAAAACUGAUCUUGAAUCAUGAUGCUAGAGGCCAGUGUGACUUCUGUCUGUUAGACUUUUUCUUCAGGUUUUCGAGGAAGAUCUGCUGCUCUUGCAGGUAGUCGUGGUCCUGUGUGCAGGAACACCAAAGUUUAGUGGAAAUAUAUGCAAUUAUUAAGACUCUGUUGAAAAUAUUUAAGCACACAUUUUCAUUGUGAUAUUUGCAUUAAAGUUUAUAAGCUUUACAAU
This is a long non-coding RNA of Syngnathoides biaculeatus (alligator pipefish), 709 nucleotides long. RefSeq lists it as uncharacterized. The record is from RefSeq and is a predicted model, not a curated record. The transcript is spliced from 4 exons. Lineage: Eukaryota; Metazoa; Chordata; Actinopteri; Syngnathiformes; Syngnathidae.